Long non-coding RNA from Mustela lutreola (European mink), 9408 nucleotides. RefSeq lists it as uncharacterized. The record is from RefSeq and is a predicted model, not a curated record. NCBI's taxonomy places the organism in Eukaryota, Metazoa, Chordata, Mammalia, Carnivora, Mustelidae. The transcript has 3 exons.
AGCCGGCGAGUGACGUGCGCGCGCCGCGGACGCCAAGGGAGAGCGCGCGGCCGCGAGGUGUGGAGUCGCGGCAGGGAUGAGUAACGAGGCCCUCCGGGGAAUCUCGGUUUUGAAGAGGGCGCGCGUGCACGCUGGGCCCUUCGCAUCCGUAGACGCUCGAGGCCCGCAGAAAGGAUACUGUGGCCGAUGAGGUAAAGCAUGUGAGGGUGCUUUGUAACCGGAAAGCGCCUUUCAAAAUAGCUCCUGAUUUGCUGCUGGUACCUGGUAGAGAUGGAAAACUUGACCAUGCGACAUCAAGUGACUGUGUGAAUAAUCAAACCAACCAUCAUGACCUGGUGUUAUCUGAUUCACCAGACCAUACAACUGAUGAGCACAACAGCAGUCCACGCCCUACAAGACUGGGAAUACCGUCACAACUAAACUGAACAAGCAGGGCGCCUGGGUGGCUCAGUCGUUAAGCAUCUGCCUUCAGCCCAGGUCAUGAGGACAGCCCAGGUCCUAGGAUCGAGUCCCACAUCCAGCUCCCUGCUCGGUGGAAAGCCUGCUUCUCCCUCUCCCACUCCCCCUGCUUCUGUUCCCUCUCUCCCUGUGUCUCUCUCUGUCAAAUAAAGAUUUAUUUGAGAGAGAGUGCAUGUGCAUAAUAUAUUUCAUGUUAUUUGUUCCUCACAUAACUAUUAUAAUGAGGCUUUGGUAUUAAUAUUUGACCACUGGUUUUUCAGACUGUGUUCAGUGAAUACUAGGGAUACUCACAGAACCAUCUAAGGUAUCCUUAGUGGGUAUGGGAUUGGAGAUAGAGGGAAAGUGAUAAAGAUUCUGAAUGGGCAAGGCUUCAGCCUUCAACUCAGGCAGCUUGUUUUGUAGACUUAAGGACUCUUGGGAAAGAAGUGUGAAAAUCAUCUAAGUUUUCCAAAAGCCACACUCAAAGGCUAAUACAUAGUAGUUGCUGAAUAAAUAUCUAAAUGGAUUUUGAUUAAAUUUAAAAUGCCACUUUUACUUCUUUCUGUACUCUUCACGUGGCACAUAAACUUUUAUUCUGCCAUUUGAGUUUCUUGAGAUGGGAGUAUUAAUUUUUGAGAAGAGCUGUUGAUUUUAUACUACAGAAGGUAACAACUGCAAGGAAGACAAAGAGUAGAAGGAUCCUGAGCUCACCUCCCCCAAGGGAUACACCAAGGCUGCAACUACUUUUAAUGCAAGUCACUCUGAGAACAACCUGAAUACUAGCAGAACAGCUUUUCCACAGCUAGAGAUAUAAAGAAAAAACCACAUUCAGAAGGGUAGAAGGGGCAGAGACUCAGGAAUCAAAACCCUGGCCCAGCAACCCACAAGCAGGAUAGAUACCACAGGAAUGGAGGUCCUCUCCAAGGAGGGAGGGGAAUCAAGCCCUACAUCGGUACCUCUGGAUCUGGGGACCUGCACAAAGAAAAUAAACCCCCAUAAAAUCUGCCUCUGAAAAUUAGCAGGGCUUAUCUUAACGCCAAGAGAGCCAGAAGGCUGUAAGAAACCAAGACUACGCAGGGUCAGAGCACUAUAUCACUUGGUCUGAGAUCCAACAUAGAGGCAAGCUGUUUGAAAAGCAAAUGGUUAUACAUGGGUUUAUAUGUGAAGGAAAUUUACUGAUUUUAGGGUGUAUGCUAAAGGGUCAGGGAAAUGCUGGUGGGCACCAUUUUUCCUGCCGCCUUUUAGCUUAGCUGGCCAGAUGCUUGUGGGAGCCAGUUCUGACACUCUCCAUCUGUCCUGAUAAUACCACUUUCUCUAUGCCAGCGUUCCCCUGCAGACCUGCCCAUCCCAAUCGGCACCACAACUGCAAACACUAUUUUGUUCUGAAGAUUUUACUGGGGUAAUCUCUACACUCGAUCAAGACUCACAUGCUCCACUGUCUGAGCCAGCCAGGCACCCCAGCAGCCUCAGUUUUGAACAGUGUUUCCCCAAAGCAACUUUCAUCCCACCACACAUGGUGGGCAGCCCCAGCCCAGGCCAGUACACCUCCAGAGCAACUCUUGCCCCAGGAAGUGGGUGUGCUAGCCUCACCCAUUAGCAUGCCCCAGCAGUUGUGGCUAAAACUUAGCCAGCUAUGCUGGGAGCUAACCCCAUCCACCAGUACACCCACGACAGUCAGAUCUCUUAGCUAGCUGCUCAGGGGUCCAGCCCUGCCCACCAGUAUGCCCACAGUAAUCACGGCUAAUCACUGUAACCAGCUAUGCUAGAGGCCAGAUCUGCCCACAACAGGAAGGUUGCAUGCAGGCAGGGGAUAUCGUUGGGAGUACUUGGUUCUGGUGACACAGAGGACUGUGUGACUUGGCCCCAAGGGACACCUUCUACAUAAGGCCAUUACUUUCAACAUCAGGAGACAUAGCUGACCUACUUAAUAUAGAGAAACAACACAGAGUCAGGAGACAGAAGAAUAUAUUCCAAACAAAAGAACAAGACAAAACCUCAGAAAACUAUGAAAGAGAUAAGGAAUCUGAUAUAGAAUACAAGGUAACAGUCAUUAAGUUGUUAAUCAGAUUUGAGAGAAGCAUACAAGCUCAGUGAGAACUUAGACAGAAAAUAUAAAAAUCGGAGCUGAAGAAUACAAUAGCUGAGGGAUGCCUGGAUGGCUCAGUGGUUAAGCUCCUGUCUUUGGCUGAGGUCUUGAUUAUGGGGUCCUGGGAUGGAGCCCCACAUCAGGCUCCCUGCUCUGCGGGAAGCCUGCUUCUUCCUCUCCCACUCCCCCUACUUGUGUUCUGUCCCUCACUGUGUCCCUCUUUGUCAAAUAAAUAAAAUCUUAAAAAAAAAAAAAGUACAAUACAUGAAAUGAAAAAUACACUAGAGAAAAUCAACAGCAGAUUAGAGAAUGCAGAAGAAUGGAGCAGUGAUCUGGAAGACAGAGUAAUGGAAAGCAGCCAAGCCAUACAUAAAAACAAAUUUUAAAAAAUUAAUAAAGAUAGGUCAAGGGACUUCUGGUACAACAUCAAGCAUACUAACAUUCAUAGUAUAGGAGUCCCAGAAGGAGAAAACGGCAGAAAACUUAUUGGGGAAAAUAGCUGAAAACCUCCAUAAGUUUAAGAGGAUGAAAACAGACAUCCUGGUCUAGGCUACACAGAGAACCCCAAAUAAGGGAGCCCAAGGCAGUCCACCAAGAUAUAUAGUAAUUGAAAUGUCCAAAAUUAAGGAUAAAGAGAGAAUCUUUAAAGCUGCAAGAGAGGGGCACCUGGGUGGCUCAGUGGGUUAAAGCCUCUGCCUUCAGCUCAGGUCAUGAUCCCAGGGCCCUGGGACUCAGCCCUGCAUCAGACUCUGCUCUGCGGGGAACCUGCUUCCCUCUUUCUGCCUGCCCUCUCUGCCUACUUGUGAUCCCUGUCUGUCAAAUAAAUAAAUAAAAUCUUUAAAAAAAAAAAAAAGGCGGCAAAAAAGCCAAUAGUUACAUACAAGGGAAAUCCCAUAAGGCUAUCACCUAAAUUUGUCAGCAAAAUGUUUACAAGCCAGAAGGGAGUGACAUGAUAUAUGCAUGAUAAGUGCUCAAAGGAAAAUAGCCAAGAAUACUGGACAAGGUUAUUAUUCAGAAUUGAAGGCGAGUUGGUUUCCCAGAUAGACAAAAGUUAAAGUUAAGCACCACUAAACUAGCCUUAUAAGAAAUAUUAAAGGGAAUUCCAUAAGCAAAAAUGGAAAGGCCAUAAUUAGAGAAAACUAUAAAGGAAAAAAUUCCACUUGUAAAACCAAACACAUAGUAAUGGUAGUAGAUCAAUUACUUAUAAAGAAAGAGCUGGCUAUUUGAAAAAAUAAAAUUGAUAAACCUUUAGCCCAGACUCAUCAAGAAAAAAAGACAAAGAACUGAGCUUGGAUGACUCAGUUGGUUAAGCGUCCAACUCUUGAUUUUGGCCCAGGUCACAAUCUCAGUGUUGUGAGAUGGAGCUCCACAUCAGGCUCUGUGCUGGGUGUGGAGCCUGCUUAAGAUUCUCUCUCUCCCUUUUCCUCUAAAAAAAUAAUAUGAGAAACAAAGGAGGAGAUGUUACAAGUGACACCACAGAAAUACAAAGGAUUAUGAGACUACUAUGAAAUAUUACAUGCCAACAAACUGGACAACCUGAAAGAAACAUAAAUUCCUAAAAACAUACAAUCUCUGGAGACUGAAUCAGGAAGAAUUAGAUCUGAACAGAUGGAUUUACUAGUAACAAAAUGGAAUCUGUAAUCAAAAACUCCCAACAUUGGGGCACCUGGGUGGCUCAGUGGGUUAAGCCUCUGCCUUCGGCUCAGGUCAUGAUCUCAGGGUUCUGGGAUCGAGUCCCGCAUCGGGCUCUCUGCUCAGCAGGGAGCUUGCUUCCCUCUCUCUCUCUCUCUACCUGCCUCUCCAUCUACUUGUGAUUCCUCUCUGUCAAAUAAAUAAAUAAAACCUUUAAAAAAAAAAAAAAACUCCCAACAAACAGAAAGUACAGGACCAGACACCUUUAUAGGUGAAUUCUACCAAACGUUUAAAGAGCUGAUACCUAUCCUCAAACUAUUCCAAACAAAAAAUGGGGUAGGGAUGCUUCCAAAUUUAUUCUGUGAAGCCAGGAAGGAUUAUCCUGAUAUCAAAACCAAAAAUACUACAAAGAAAAAUUACAGAUCACUAUCCUUGAUGAACAUAGAUGCAAAAAUCCUCAACAAAAUUCAGCAAACCAAAUUUAACAAUAUGUUAAAAGGAUCAUUCAACACCUUCAAAUAAACCAAUAUGAUAGACCACAUUAACAAAAUGAAGGAUUAAAAAUCAUAUGAUCACCUCCAAAAGUGCAGAAAAAGCGCUGGACAAAACUCAACAUCUGUUCCUUAUAAAACCUCUCUGCAAAGAGGGUUUAGAAAGAAUGUACUCCAACAUAAUAAAGGCCAUAUAGGACAAAUCCAUAGCUAACAUCAUACUCAGUAGUGAAAAGCUUAAAGCAUUCCUCUAAAAUCAGGAACAAGACAGAGAUGACUACUCUCGCCACAUUUAUUCAACACAAUAAUAGAAGUCUUAGCCACAGCCAUCAGGCAAGAAAAAGAACAGGCAUCUCAAGUGGUAAGGAAGAAGUAAAACUUUCACUAUUUGCAGAUGACAUGAUACCAUAGAUGGGAAACCCUAAAGACUACACCAAAAAACUAUUAGAACUAAUGAAUGGAUUCAGUAAAUUUGCUAAAUACAGAACCAAUAUACAGAAAUCUGUUUCAUUUCUAUACACUAAGAACAAAGUACAAGAAAUAGAAAUUAAGAAAACAAUCCCAUUGACAACUGCAUCAAAAAAGAAUUACCUAGGAGGGCACCUGGGUGGCUCACUGGCUUAAGACUCUGCCUUCAGCUCAGGUCAUCAUCUCAGGGUCCUGGGAUCAAGCCCUGCAUCGGGCUCCCUGCUUAGCAGGGGGUCAGCUUCCCCCUCCCCCUCUGCGUGCCUCUCUGUCUACUUGUGAUCUCUGUCAAAUAAAUAAAUAAAAUCUUUAAAAAAAAAAUCUUUGACCCCGCUUGCUCUAAAAUAAUUCCCUAUCUUCUAACUUGCUAUCAUGAUCAAGCUCUGCAUUUUUUCACUUUCCAUUCACUCCCUAACAUGCUUAAAUUUAAAUUCUGUCGGGAUGCCUGGGUGGCUCGGUCGGUUGGGUCACUGCCUUUGGCUUGGGUCAUGGUCCCGGAGUGUGGCUUGGGUCAUGGUCCUGGAGUCCUGGGAUCGAGUCCCGCACCAGGCUCCUUCAGCCAGGAGCCUGCUUCUCUCUCUGCCUCUGCCUGCCACACUGCCUGCUUGUGCUCUUACAAAUAAAUAAAUAAAAUCUUAAAAAAAAAUUUUUUUUUAAAGAUUUUAUUUAUUUAUUUGACAGGCAGAGAUUACAAGUAGGCAGAGAGGCAGGCAGAGAGAGAGAGGAGGAAGCAGACUCCCCACUGAGCAAAGAGCCCGACGCGGGGCUCGAUCCCAGGACCCUGGGAUCAUGACCUGAGCCGAAGGCAGAGGCUUUAACCCACUGAGCCACCCAGGCGCCCCUAAAAAAUUUUUUUUAAUUCUGUCGACACUACCUCAAUAAAAUUCUGAGUCAUCAGGGAUAAAAUUUAGUUGACAAGUUUCUAAUCUUUAGUAUAUUUAACUUUCUAUACCAUUUCACACUUGAUAUUUUGAAUAGGUAGUCAAAUAUAUUUUGAAUGAAUAAAUGAUAAUUGAUGGAGGGAAGGGAAAAAGUUGCUCUCAAACUCAAGAGUACCCAAGGAAUAAUAAAUAGCUGUAGUACUCAGAAUAAUGUCUCCCCCUGAUCUUCAACCCCCACAGAAGAUGUCUACAUCCCAGUUCCUGGAACCUGUGAAUAUGUUAUGUUACACAGCAAGGGGGAAUUACGAUUGUGGAUGGAAUUAAGGCAGCUAAUCAUCUGGCCUUCACAUGGGUAGAUUUUCCUGGAUUAUCACAAAGAUCUUUAUAGGAAAGGAGGCAGGCAAGUGUGUCAGAGUGCCGCGAUGGGAGAAAGACUCAACUGGACAUUUCUGGCUUUGAAGAUGGAAGGGGAUCAUAAGCCAUGGUGUUAGCAGCCUCUAAAAACUGGAAAGGGCAAGAAAAGGGACUGAACCACCAGAAAGGAACAAAUCUUAUACCUUGAUUUUUAGACAAGUAGAACCCAUUUCAGACUUCCAACCUCCAAUAUCUUAGUUAUCCAACCUCCAGAUAUCUUAGUUAUCUAAGGUAACUGUUGUUUUAAGCCGUUGAAUUUAUACUAAUUUGUUACAUCAAGAGUAUGACAAUAGCCAUUUCUAAUUUUCCUUUAAAGUAUAGUUGAAUCUUGUGAUUUUUUUUCCUAUUGAGUCUGAUCUGUUGAGUGGAGGCGUGGAAAUAAGAAGGAAACCAGGAUCAAAUGAGAGUUCCAUUAACUAUGUCACAGCAACUAUUCUCUUGCUGACCUUUAUACUAUCAGCAGCUUGCUUAUACUCUGAUAUAAAUACUAACAUCCUACUAUCAGAAAUUAAAACCCUAAUGAAAACUUAACAGGUACAUACUUGCUUGAGGAACAAAAGUAUAAGGAAAAAAAGAAUUGUAUUCUUCUUUUCUAUUCUGUGAGAUUGUAAUUCACCCAUCCCAUACCCUUCAGAAGAAAAUCUGAACCCAUUACCAUGGCAUGUUAAGGCCCUCACUAUAUCUAGCUUUGACUUUGAACUGUUUUGUCUCUUCUCGUCCAUUCUUUCCUUGCCCUCCCCCAUUCCCCGACUGCCUCCAGCCAAAGUACUUGCCAAACCUGUAGUCUCCAAAACCUACCAGGUCAAGUUCUCUGAGACUUCUUUGUGUUGUUCCCUCUGCCUAGGAAGCUUCCUCCUUCUCCCCUGCCCCAUCCCCCCCAAGGCCAGCUAUGCCUUUCUUUCAUUUCUUUAAAGACAACUCUUCCAUAUAGAAACUUGCCCUGGGCACCCCCAGUUAAAUUAAGUACUUAAUAUUACUCUAUGCAGGGGCACCUGGGUAGCUCAGUGGGUUAAGCCUCACCCUUCAGCUCAGGUCAUGAUCCCUGGAUCCUAGGAUCAAGUCCCACAUCGGGCUCCCUACUCGGCAGGAGCCUGCUUCUCCCCCAUCUCAUCUCUCUCUGCCUGCCUCUCUGCCUACUUGUGAUCUCUCUCUUUCAAAUAAAUAAAUAAAAUCUUAAAAAAAAAAGAAAAAGAAAAAGCCUCUGCCUUCGGCUCAGCUCAUGAUCCCAGGGUCCUGGGAUGGAGCCCCAUAUCGGGCUCUCUGCUCUGCAGAGAGCCUGCUCCCCCCCGCCCCCGCAACCUGUCUGCCUCUCUGCCUACUUAGGAUCUCUGUCAAAUAAAUAAAUAAAAAUCUUUAAAAAAAAAUAUUACUCUAUGCAUGUAUCUAUGUCAUCAUAUUAUGGUGAUUGUCUGAUCCUUAAUGGUCUCCUCAAAAGACUUUCAUUUAUUUAUUUAUUUAUUUGACAGAGAGAAAUCACAAGUAGAUGGAGAGGCAGGCAGAGAGAGAGAGAGGGAAGCAGGCUCCCUGCUGAGCAGAGAGCCCGAUGCGGGACUCAAUCCCAGAACCCUGAGAUCAUGACCUGAGCCGAAGGCAGCAGCUUAACCCACUGAGCCACCCAGGUGCCCCACUCAAAAGACUUUCUUAAAGGUGACAUCUGGGGGGUGCCUGGGUGGCUCAGUGGGUUAAGCCUUUGCCUUCGGCUCGGGUCAUGAUCCCAGGUGCUGGCAUCGAGUCCCGCAUUGGGCUCCCUGCUCAGCCAGGAGCCUGCUUCCUCCUCUCUUUCUGCCUGACUCUCUGCCUACUUGUGAUCUCUGUCUGUCAAAUAAAUAAAUAAAAUCUUUAAAAAAAAAAAAAAAAAGGUGACAUCUGGGUCUUUUAUCUAUGUAUCUUCAGCAUCUAGCUCAAUGCCUUGCAUAUAACGGGCAUUAUGUUUUUUAGGAAGAUGGGAAUAAUUAUAUCAAUAGGUUUCUAUUACAUUAACAUUCUUCAGCCUAAACCUUCACUUAGGGAGAAACUUCCAAUUGGUCUAGUUAGACCCAAGUAUCGCUGACUGACAACUGUAUGAGUCUCUUGGUUUUGCCUCAACCUACAUCAAAAGCAGCCCCAUAUUGUGAAUGGAUGUUUUUAAAAGCCAUAAAUAAGGAGGUUUUUGGAAGGCAGAAUGCACUAUCAUAUGUGAACAAUGCUGUUAUAGUGACUAUAUUUCAAGUUACCAAGUACAGAAAUGGUAACCAAGUUGUGUAAAACUGAACCACCCCAAUUGUGGUAGCCCGAAUUCUAUGCUCAAGGGUAGAUCUUCUGGUGUUUAAGCGAAGAGGGGGGAAAAGAAAUCCUCUUCAUUCCUCAUUUCCUUGAGAAUAGUUUUGUCUUUGACAUUUUUCUUCCCACUUCUUUCUGCACACCUCUCCUUGUAGUCUCCAAUGUCCUUACCUUUUGUCCCCAGUUAUAGCCCUGUCCAAGCCAGGAGCAGGCAUUUAGCUUUAUCCCUAAAAUGCUCCAGAGUAAUCCCCUUCUCUCCAUUACUGCAGAAUAGAAAGAAGGAAAAUAAGGAAAAGCUAAAUUCACAAAAAUCUGUAACUAUCUAAUUAUAUCUUAAAUCUCAGGGGGUUUUGUGGAAAGUAUUCUCUGGGAGUUGAAUUUCAAGUAUUGUAACACGCAAGACUCUCCAUUUUUGUCUGGGUCUUUUUGUAAGAUGGAGAACCUGUAUCAUACUGUUCUCUUACCAAAUAUAUAUAUAUGGUAAAGACCAAGCAUUAACUUUUGGAAUUUAAUAUGCUUUGAUGAUGGGGUAUCUCUGAAACUGUCACAUUCUUAAAUACCAAAUAAGCCAAAUUUGUUAAGGUUUUUUAUUUUUAUUUAUUUAUUUUUUUUGUUAAGGUUUUUCAGACGUAGUGAAACGUUUGUUUCAUUCUUUUAGUGCCAUGUGUUAAAAUCGCUACUUUUGUGCAAUGAAAAAAACCAACAGGUGCAAAAUAGUGUGUAUUAAAAAUUGGCGCAGUGA